AAUCAACGCUGGCGGCGUGCCUAACACAUGCAAGUCGAACGCGAAAGCCCUUUCGGGGGUAAGUAGAGUGGCGUCCGGGUGAGUAACGACGUAGGUAAUCUACCUUCGGGUGGGAAGUAACUCGCCGAAAGGCGAGCUAAUACCGCAUAAUGCAGCGGCACCUAAUGGUGAUUAGUUGUUAAAGCGGGGAUCGUAAGACCUCGCGCCUGAAGAGGAGCCUGCGGCAGAUUAGCUAGNGGUGAGGUAAUGGCUCACCAA
This 258-nucleotide ribosomal RNA is filed under the name uncultured bacterium. RNAcentral describes it as "partial 16S ribosomal RNA". It matches the Rfam family "Bacterial small subunit ribosomal RNA", at positions 32 to 271 of the family's 1533-position model. The record is from RNAcentral.